Molecule: long non-coding RNA, 1038 nt
Organism: Myodes glareolus (Bank vole)
Lineage: Eukaryota; Metazoa; Chordata; Mammalia; Rodentia; Cricetidae
Source: RefSeq, a predicted model, not a curated record
GAGAAGCCAUGCAGCCACUGCCUGUGACAGAUGCUGAGAACUCUAGCUGGCAUCCUCGGCGAAGGCAGAAUCUGCUGAGUGUCUCCAGUAUCAUGUCACCAGGGGCCUUUGUGACAAACAAGUUAAGAGCUACUUUGAGUCCACGGAAAUAUUCUAGUCCGACUGCUGUGGAUUCCCUGCCCGGCCCUACUAUGCUCGCUGGCCAUUCAAGGAAAGCAGAGCUGGUCAGUGUUCAGGAUGUGAGGUGACCAAGAUCCGGUGCCAGGUUGGAGAGGGAAGGGAGAGUAACUAGAGCAGAAAUCUAUGCCUAGAACCACGGAUAGACUGCAGCUGUGCAGUGUCUCACUGGAGCAGGCGUCUGUGAGGCUUGCCUUUCUACGCUGCAUCAUGGCUACGACGGGGGCCAGUUUGUAGGAAAGGAAGGGGCCGGAGACCAACAUGUCCCUCUUCACCCUCUACUGCUCCCUGAUGGUCCCCCGGGGUAAAUACUCCAGAGACAGAAGCGCGGCAUCAUUUCCCGACCCCUUGGAGGGUGGCAGGCUUCUGGGUCUGGUGUGGCCUCCUCCGCGGCAACUCCACAUGCCCCUGCCAGUUCGCUCAGCUCCUGCAAAUAUUUGCUGUGCUCUUGCUCCAGGCCUUGGGUUGAUGGUCAGUGUGGAAUGGGGGAGGGAAGUGGGCGUGAAGCUCACAGGACAUAAACACAAACCUGGACGAGUUGGCCAUGAGUCAAGUCACUGGAGGCUUGACAGAAGGGCUAUUCAUUUCCUAGGGCGCCAUCUGACAAGUGCAACCUAAAGUUCCAGCUCCGGGGCUAGAAGGAAGAAUGCCGCAAUGAGUUCACACACACAGUGAGUUCCAGGGCUAUUCUCAGCUACUGAAUGCAACCCUGUCUCAAAACCUCAAAAGGAACCUUUGAUUCGAGCACUCAGGAGGGAAGCAGAUACAGCUGGAUCUCUGUGAGUUCGAGGCUGUCUGGUCUACAAGAGCUAGUUCCAGGACAGACUUCAAACUACAGUGAAACCCUGUCUCAGAAGAAAA